ACGUUGUUCUUGUCUUCCUUCCAAUGGACUUUCGAAGCAUAUAAUAUAUUCGCACUAUAAUAACGAAUUAACAACACUUGCUGAUGAAAUGGGCAUUGAAAUUUCCACGAGAGACAGGCUUGGAAUUCAGGUCCAAUCGGCAUCAGAUCGACACAAACAGAAGACAAAGCUGGUCGCUUUCCGAGGUGGUCAAGCUGGACAUCUUCACAUGCUCCGAAGGACACCACGAAUGGCACGACGACCGAGAUGUUCUUGGAGCCCACGUUCGUCUUCCUCCUCGAGAACUUCGUCCACCCAGGAUUAAGAUCUUGCUGUCGAGUGUUGACAUGGUCGACACGUAUCGGGUCGGGUCAAGUAGGAAAUGGUUCGGACGCAAAUCGUUUUGUUCGUCGGGUUUUGCAGCAACCCCAACACAUCGACACUCCUAAGAACGAACGACUCGCUUUUGAGAUUUUCAACUCCGCUUUACUAGCCGAAAGAUGUUU
RNAcentral lists this long non-coding RNA (485 nucleotides) under Eucalyptus grandis. Its description in RNAcentral is "long non-coding RNA (EGRA_LNC003337)". The record is from RNAcentral. Lineage: Eukaryota; Viridiplantae; Streptophyta; Magnoliopsida; Myrtales; Myrtaceae.